RNAcentral lists this small nuclear RNA (62 nucleotides) under Microcebus murinus (gray mouse lemur). RNAcentral describes it as "U7 small nuclear RNA (ENSMICG00000041991.1)". It matches the Rfam family "U7 small nuclear RNA". From Rfam's summary of the family: Animal histone pre-mRNAs are spliced by a different mechanism than nuclear pre-mRNAs and self-splicing introns. This processing involves the U7 snRNP, which contains only one RNA species: U7. The 5' end of U7 RNA is thought to base-pair to a conserved spacer element downstream of the cleavage site in histone pre-mRNA. The record is from Rfam by way of RNAcentral. Lineage: Eukaryota; Metazoa; Chordata; Mammalia; Primates; Cheirogaleidae.
AAGUGUUACAGUUCUUUUAGAAUUUGUCAAGUAGGUUUUCCCGUCCUUACCAGAAGACCCUU